Molecule: non-coding RNA, 73 nt
Organism: Caenorhabditis brenneri
Lineage: Eukaryota; Metazoa; Nematoda; Chromadorea; Rhabditida; Rhabditidae
Source: the annotation of a GenBank genome assembly
UGCUCUCGUGGCCUAGUGGCUAGCGCAGUUGUUUUUGAAAUUCGCAUCGCGGGUUCGACCUCCGCUGGGGCAA